This 1390-nucleotide long non-coding RNA is filed under the name Triticum aestivum (bread wheat). Its description in RNAcentral is "long non-coding RNA (TAES_LNC023191)". Lineage: Eukaryota; Viridiplantae; Streptophyta; Magnoliopsida; Poales; Poaceae. The record is from RNAcentral.
AAUAGCAGUUUCAUAUUUUUCAGAGAUCUAAUUCCAUAUAUUUUCACAGAAAUUAGUUUCACAACUUGUAACAACACAUUGAAAUAUAUUGCAGGGAAGUAAUUUCAUACAUUUCAAUACAUAUAUGACCGAAAUAAAAAAUUACAUAUAUGACAAAUAGCAGUUUCAUAUUUUUCAGAGAUCUAAUUUCAUAUAUUUUCACAGAAAUUAGUUUCACAACUUGUAACAACACAUUGAAAUAUAUUUCAGGGAAGUAAUUUCAUAUUUCCCAAUACAAAACUCACUUAAAUAACAAAUGCCAGAUAAGAGGAACAACAGUUUCAUAUAUUUCAGAGAAGUAAUUUCAUAUAUUUUCACAAAAAUUAGUUUCACAACUUGCAACACCACAUUGAAAUAUAUUCCAGGGAAUUUCUCAAUACAUAUAUCACUGAAAUAACAAAUGACAGAUAAGAGAAAUAGUUGUUUCAUAUUUUUCAGAGAUCUAAUUCCAUAUUUUUUCCAGUUUCACAUUGAAAUCUCACAGAAAUUAGUUUUGCAACUUGCAACAACACAUUGAAAUCCCAGUUUCACAUUUUUUGCACAUCUCAACUACACAUAGCUAUUUCAAUUCAAAUCUCACUGAAAAACAUUCCAAUCUCACUGAAAAUCAUUCCAAAUCUCACUGAAAGUCAUUCAAAUCUCACUUCGACAUACUGAAGUAAUCCAGUUUCACCAGAUUGAAAUAUAAAUUUCACAUUGUGCCACAAACCAUUUCACAUUAGUUUGUUUGACAACUAGCAACACCGCAUUCAAAUAUAUUACAGGGAAGUAAUUUCAUAGAUUUUGGUCUCUUUCAAAAAACUACAACACAUGCUCUCUGUCACAAACAUUCAAAAAUCCUGAAAUUGAAGUAGCAGAGGAGGCCGACGAUCUGGUGGUAAAGAAACAUAGAGUGUUCAAAUCAUGCUAAAUAAAUCUGAAAUCGUGAAAUACAUAUGGAGAGAGGUUAGGGGAGAUGGGAUUCAUGACUCACCAGAUCCGGAGACACCAACGGCGACCACGGCUGCCGGGGCAGCAAGGAUGCCGGUGGAUGGGCUUCUGGUUGGCGGGAUCGAGGAACCUCGCCGGAUCAGCCACCCCCCGACGGCCAGUGGAUCCGGCCCCUGCUCCUCGUCGGCCUCAUGGUACCGCCGCGUCGCCGCCGGCCUUCUAUGUGCCCCCCGCGGUAGGUGCCGGCAGUGGAACCCGAAUCCGGUGUCGGAUGUUGGUGGAGAAGGCGGAUCUCGCGGCGGCCAUAGCCGGGAUUAACCACCGAGCCCCGUGGAACGAACUGACGAGAGAUGGGGUGGGGAGAAAAGAGAUCGAUGAGGGAAGGAGACAACGGCCUGGGGGUGAUAUCCUGUCUGUCGUG